UCCUCGUUUAAGCGAGGCAGUCUGUCCAGAGUGCUCCAAACUCUCGUUUGAGUGGCAACAGGACAUAAGGGUUGCGCUCGUUGCGGGACUUAACCCAACAUCUCACGACACGAGCUGACGACAGCCAUGCAGCACCUGUGCAAGCUCCCCUUGCGGGGUCGUCCCACUUUCAUGGUUCUACCACUUGCAUGUCAAGGCCAGGUAAGGUUCUUCGCGUUGCGUCGAAUUAAACCACAUGCUCCGCUGCUUGUGCGGGUCCCCGUCAAUUCCUUUGAGUUUUAACCUUGCGGCCGUACUCCCCAGGCGGAGAACUUAUCGCGUUAGCUACGGCACAGAAUCCGUUGAC
This 346-nucleotide unclassified non-coding RNA is filed under the name uncultured bacterium. RNAcentral's name for it is "contains 16S-23S intergenic spacer region". The record is from RNAcentral.